CCUACGGGAGGCAGCAGUGAGGAAUAUUGGUCAAUGGGCGCGAGCCUGAACCAGCCAAGUAGCGUGAAGGAUGACUGCCCUACGGGUUGUAAACUUCUUUUGUCAGGGAGCAAUUUGCGCUACGUGUAGCGUUAUCGAUAGUACCUGAAGAAAAAGCAUCGGCUAACUCCGUGCCAGCAGCCGCGGUAAUACGGAGGAUGCGAGCGUUAUCCGGUUUUAGUGGGUUUAAAGGGUGCGUAGGCGGAAUGCCAAGUCAGCGGUAAAAUCGCGGGGCUCAACCUCGCUCCGCCGUUGAAACUGGCGGUCUUGAGUGGGCGAGAAGUAUGCGGAAUGCGUGGUGUAGCGGUGAAAUGCAUAGAUAUCACGCAGAACUCCGAUUGCGAAGGCAGCAUACCGGCGCCCAACUGACGCUGAAGCACGAAAGCGUGGGUAUCGAACAGGAUUAGAUACCCGAGUAGUC
RNAcentral lists this ribosomal RNA (460 nucleotides) under uncultured bacterium. RNAcentral's name for it is "partial 16S ribosomal RNA". It matches the Rfam family "Bacterial small subunit ribosomal RNA", at positions 338 to 795 of the family's 1533-position model. The record is from RNAcentral.